AGAGGUCCAGCCUGCCCAGUGAAAAUUUCAACGGCCGCGGUAACCUGACCGUGCAAAGGUAGCGUAAUCACUUGUUUUUUAAAUAAAGACUAGUAUGAAUGGCACCACGAGGAUCAAACUGUCUCCUUUCCACAAUCAGUGAAACUAAUCUCCUAGUGAAAAAGCAAGGAUGUUACUGUAAGACGAAAAGACCCUGUGGAGCUUUAAACAAAUAACUAAUGCCAUACUUCCCUUCUUCUCCCCGCACCUUAGUUACUAAUUUUGGUUGGGGUGACCGCGGAGAAAAAUCUAUCCUCCAUGACGAAAUUACUUUAAACAAAACUACAACUUUACUUCACAAUAAAUUGACGCACUGACCCAAUAACUUGAUCAGCGAACUAAGUUACCCCAGGGAUAACAGCGCCAUCCGCCUUAAAAGCCCAUAUUGACAGGCGGCUUUACGACCUCGAUGUUGGAUCAGGGUAUCCUAGUGGUGCAGCCGCUACUAACG
Molecule: ribosomal RNA, 490 nt
Filed under: Brachycephalus didactylus (Izecksohn's toad)
Lineage: Eukaryota; Metazoa; Chordata; Amphibia; Anura; Brachycephalidae
Description: LSU rRNA
Rfam family: Bacterial large subunit ribosomal RNA
Source: RNAcentral